This 1510-nucleotide long non-coding RNA is filed under the name Mus musculus (house mouse). Its description in RNAcentral is "predicted gene, 32515". Lineage: Eukaryota; Metazoa; Chordata; Mammalia; Rodentia; Muridae. The record is from RNAcentral.
AGUGUUGGUUACUGUUCUGCUUCCUUCUAGAUGCUUCCAGAUGUCAGCUUGGAUGGCUGCAUUCUCCUAGAGACACUCGCCAAAGAACUUAUCUUCAGGUUCCUGGAACUUAUUGCCCCUUCUGUGGACCUUGGCUGCUUGGUGAACCUCAUGGAUUGAACUGCAGUUGCUGAUUCGUGUUCGGUAUUUGCUAGUGGACUGGACUGAGAACAACGAAGAUUGGAAUUGCCCCAAAGAACCAUUUCUAAACAGGUCAGGACCACACUCCAGAAAACUGUCAGGAGCGUGGUCAUCCCUCACAGUCAAGUAUCGGCACCACCAUGCAUUCUUCCACCCCUCUCCAGCCCACAAGGCAGGCUACUGAUGUCUAUUCUAUCAUUAUUGGCGGAGAGCUUGAAAAGAAGUUGUUCUUUUCCUCAAAGAGAAAGAUGAGUCACAGUUAUUUAAUUUAUUAAUUAUGUUUAUUCCUGUGCUACAUAUUUAGAGACUAUGUGACCAGAGCGCUAGGUCCACAACCUCUUGACACCAUCUGUACUGUGUUCAUGGGAGUACUUAUGACUCUGGAGACUUAGCAGCUUGGUGUCUGAUCACCCUAGGUUAACGACUCUUGGAUUACGGAUACCAGUCUCUCUGCAUCCUCAUCUGUCCACGUAGACAGUCAGCCAGGGAGUGGAAGAAUCCAUUCUUAAGUGGCUCGUGGGUCUCUGGUCGGUCUCAACGAAUGUCGAAAGCAGAGCAUCAGUUGAAAAGAAGAACAGCUAGAAGGUCAUUGAACAAGAGAAACAGCACAGUCCGGGGAAACCAGCUCUUGGGCUUGGAGAGGAAACGGAAGAUGAUCCCCUGUCUGUCAAUGGUAUUGAAGACUUGAGCUAAUGCACACCUGGCUACCCACAACUUCCCUUAGAAGAGCUCUUUCUCAUUAAGACUCAUCACUAAGACUUCAAUCGCAGCUGGUAGAGACUUGGGGCCGGAUCUUAUGCAGGUAGAGAUUUCAGAGCCAACUGAGAUCUCUGAGCAUUGAACCCCUGUGCUGGCUCCUAGUAGUUCAGUAAGUGCUAGGCACAUGAAACCUUGGAGCAUCCCAGGACCCCAGUAUAUCAUAGAGUUCUCCAUCUGGGACUUCUUGGUCUUUGGCACCAUAUUUUCUCUAACCUCAUUGCAUUUGAACUUCUGAAAGCUAUCUGUACUUAUAACGUAAGUUCAUAUUGCUAAUGGAGUGAUCUUGAGUCAGGUAAAUGUGUGUUGUCCCAGGAAGAUUCAAAUCCAUAUAGUUCACUUAGGAGGUCAGAAAACACCUGUCUAGGGACAGAAAAGACAAAUGACAAAGUUGUAUUGUCAAUUUACAGCUGUGGUCACUGGAGCUUACUCUCCCAAGAUUCUGGGGGCCAGGGUGAAGCAUAAGAACUUUUUUCAGAAUGGAAUCCCCCAGUCUCAAAUCCUGCUAAAGUGUGUGAGUGUGUGUGUGUACAUGUACAUGUCUUUGUUUAAUACUAGAUCUUACUUGUUGAUA